RNAcentral lists this ribosomal RNA (296 nucleotides) under uncultured soil bacterium. Its description in RNAcentral is "partial 16S ribosomal RNA". It matches the Rfam family "Bacterial small subunit ribosomal RNA", at positions 26 to 350 of the family's 1533-position model. The record is from RNAcentral.
AGGACGAACGCUAGCGGCGUGCCUAAGGUAUGCAAGUCGAACGGCCCGCAAUGUCAGUGGCGGACGGGUGAGUAUCGCGUAGGAAUAUGUCCGGAGGUGGGGGACAACCCUGGGAAACUGGGGCUAAUACCGCAUAUGAGCUGAGGCUCAAAGCAGUGAUGCGCCUUUGGAGUAGCCUGCGUCCGAUUAGCUUGGUUGGUGGGUAAAGGCCUACCAAGGCGACGAUCGGUAGCUGGUCUGAGAGGACGACCAGCCACACUGGGACUGAGACACGGCCCAGACUCCUACGGGAGGCA